RNAcentral lists this ribosomal RNA (342 nucleotides) under uncultured bacterium. RNAcentral describes it as "bacterial SSU rRNA". It matches the Rfam family "Bacterial small subunit ribosomal RNA", at positions 1 to 334 of the family's 1533-position model. The record is from RNAcentral.
CUAGCGACUUCAGAGUUUGAUCCUGGCUCAGGAUGAACGCUAGCUACAGGCUUAACACAUGCAAGUCGAGGGGUAGCACGGAGGAAGCUUGCUUCCUUGGGUGACGACCGGCGCACGGGUGAGUAACGCGUAUCCGACCUACCCAUAACACGGGCACAGCCGAUCGAAAGAUCGAUUGAUUCCCGAUAUGUUAUAUAAGUAGAUUAUAUAAUGAAAGAUUCAUCGGUUAUGGAUGGGGAUGCGUAAGAUUAGGUAGUAGGCGGGGUAACGGCCCACCUAGCCGACGAUCUUUAGGGGUUCUGAGAGGAAGGUCCCCCACACUGGUACUGAGACACGGACCAG